UACGUAGGUGGCGAGCGUUGUCCGGAUUUACUGGGCGUAAAGAGCGCGCAGGCGGCCAAGUCAGUCGAAUGUGAAAGCCCCCGGCUUAACCUGGGAACUGCGCUUGUUACUGGCAGGCUUGAGUGUGGCAGAGGGGGGUGGAAUUCCACGUGUAGCAGUGAAAUGCGUAGAGAUGUGGAGGAACACCGAUGGCGAAGGCAGCCCCCUGGGCUAACACUGACGCUCAUGCACGAAAGCGUGGGGAGCAAACAGG
Molecule: ribosomal RNA, 253 nt
Filed under: uncultured bacterium
Lineage: Bacteria
Description: partial 16S ribosomal RNA
Rfam family: Bacterial small subunit ribosomal RNA
Source: RNAcentral